RNAcentral lists this ribosomal RNA (490 nucleotides) under uncultured bacterium. RNAcentral's name for it is "bacterial SSU rRNA". It matches the Rfam family "Bacterial small subunit ribosomal RNA", at positions 903 to 1397 of the family's 1533-position model. The record is from RNAcentral.
AAAUGAAUUGACGGGGGCCCGCACAAGCAGUGGAGUAUGUGGUUUAAUUCGAAGCAACGCGAAGAACCUUACCAGGGCUUGACAUCCCCUGACAGCUGUAGAAAUACAGACUCUCUUCGGAGCAGGGAGACAGGUGGUGCAUGGUUGUCGUCAGCUCGUGUCGUGAGAUGUUGGGUUAAGUCCCGCAACGAGCGCAACCCUUGUUGUUAGUUGCCAGCAGUAAGAUGGGCACUCUAACGAGACUGCCGGUGAUAAAUCGGAGGAAGGUGGGGACGACGUCAAAUCAUCAUGCCCCUUAUGUUCUGGGCUACACACGUACUACAAUGGCUACUACAGAGGGAAGCAAUACCGCGAGGAGGAGCAAAUCCCCAAAAGUAGUCUCAGUUCAGAUUGCAGGCUGAAACUCGCCUGCAUGAAGUCGGAAUUGCUAGUAAUGGCAGGUCAGCAUACUGCCGUGAAUACGUUCCCGGGCCUUGUACACACCGCCCGU